GGGAGACAACGUGGUAGGUAAUUAAGUAUCGUCCGAGAUACGUAUUACGAAUUGAAUUACUCGGAAUACCAUUAUAAUACAAUAAAGGGAAACUAAAUCCAUCACAAAUUGUAGGACAACCUUGAGGAAAAAAAUGGGACACGUGCUGAUGAGAUAACGCGAGGGCUUUGUUUCUCACCCUCGUCAGGAUGGAAUUCUUCCCUUAAAGGUGAUAAUUCAUUUUGAGAAGGGCUUGGGACAUGCGAUCAUCUUUCUCUCUGACCGAGACUUUGGUAGAUGAUACAAGAGUCAUUCCAUCUUUGUCCCAACUUGCGCGAGGUAUUGGAUGUCCUGUGACGGCGCAUUGGAAUCUAACAGUUUCUCCUUCUUCAGCAACACGAUUGUGGGGUAUGGCAUAGAAUUUUGGCGCAGAAGGUAUUCUCGGACGUCGUUCAGUUCUCUGUGUUGGUGAUCGUACUGCGAAUGAAAUACAAUUUCGAGAAUGAGAAAAAAUUAUUGGAAUAUAUGUGGGAAUGAAUCAAUAAAUAUUCGAAGCAAUAAGACGUCUCCUGAUAAUAUCAUAAAUCGUCGUCCAGUUUUUUUAUGCAACAAAGAAAGAGCUGUUCUGGAAUAUUCCAACAGAAGACAAGUAAAUAAAUAAAUACCGUUGCAAUACAAACUUACUGACGCACAGCGGCGAUAGGCUCCGUAUUGGCGUUGACCUUGGAGUUGAAACAGGCGUUGCAUUUGGAGAGAGCAAAUGAAUUGGCUUCUUCAAUCUCUGGCAGGCUGAGGUGGAAGCACUUCCCAGAUCGUUGUAAGCUACACAAACGUAUUCGCCUUCGUCUUCUGGAUAAACGUGUUGUAUGUGCAAUUGUGCCGUUCCAUUCUCGAAAUUAAAACUUAUAUCGUCUUGCAGUGCCACUAACUUUGAAACAAUGAUGAAAUUGGUAUUAUUUGAAUGUUUGAUUGAAGCUUUUGUAUCGAUAAAAAUUAAAAAUUGGUGAAUAAUCAAUGGAUACCACGCGAAGAUUUAUUAUUAAUACAUUUUCUUUAAGCGGAACGAACCCUCUUGAGUUGCAAAGCUACCUUUUUAUCGCUUUUGCUACUUGUUAACUUGACGCGAUUAAAAUUAAUCUAAAAAAUCUGAAAAAAAUCGUGUUAUCCUUUUAUUUAAUGAUCUACCCGCUUGUCAUUGAUUGGGUCAUUCCGAUAAUUAUUCAUCACCUUAUUUCCUUUUUCCCAUCGAAUAUGUGGAGGUGGAGUAGCAUCGACUUUACAAAUGAACGUAACAGCAUCUCCAUCGCAACAUCGAAUAUUCCUCAGCGGGCUCUCAAUUACUGGCAACGUUUGGAUUUCACUGUGAAAGUUAUUAAAACCAAAAAAUUAUUGACGUUUCACUUACAUUUCCAGCAGUACAAAUUCAUACCUUAAUUUUACUGUGUGCUCCCUAUUAAUCUCUUGUCCACUUUCUGGAUCUAUAUAAAGAUAUUUACUAUUAGAGCUAUCAAUUUUCGUUUUCGUUGCUGUCAAAAUUACCUCUCGCAUAAAUUUGAAGAGAUAUUACAGCUUUAGCUUCUCCAAAACAAUUUUUAGCAAUAACUGAGUAAGUUCCUGUGAAAUCCAACUUGGCGUAUGGAAUCUCAAGCUGAUAUUGGGGGCCUAGACCCAUCGGUCGGAAGUGGGGGGCGUCUUUAUAAUAACCAGGCUGAAAAAAACAAUUUUAAAGACCGGUUGAAGUGAUUUUAAAAUCGAUAAAUAUCUUCAAAUUAUUUAUGAGUUACUAAAGCCAAUUAUCCAUUCCCUAAUAAAAUCGUUGUUUCAACCGUUUAUUUGUGUUCACAAUUUAUGAUCACAUGAUCCUCUCCAAGAUACGUUACAUCUCCUCAAACUACGGUUUCAGAUUGCAACCAAAAUAAUUAUGAGAUAGUUACGAAACCCAAUUGCCAUUGCCAAUUGCAGUAUUCAUUUAUUAUUUGCGGAUAAUAUCCGGAUUGUUGAUAAUUAUCUUUUAUUCGAAUAAAACCAUUAUUUCAACAGUUUAUUUGUGUUCGUGAUUUAUGAUCACGUGACCCUUUCCAAAUACAUACUUUACAUAUCAAAUAUCUAAUUGUUAAUAUAAAAAUUUAUAUCUUUUACAUACUAACAGUUUGAGAAUAAACAGAUGAUUGAUUCUACACUGUCAGCCCAUAUAUAGAGAGAAAGUUUUAAACUCUGAAUUCGUAAAUGGCAACUGCUAAAAAUACUACUCAUAUUGUCCACACAAUAUGAAUGAAUGAUGGAGCUAUCAAUACUGCUAUGCCCGAAGGUUUUUUGCAUGUCAUUGAGACAUUUAUCUCCAAGGUUUCACAAAUGUCAUUGUUUCAUCCACAAAGUUGUUCGUCUACCAUUGUCAAUAAUCUUCAUGGCUUACCCUCAAAAAAUCGCGAAGCCAGAACACAUCUGGUUUAGGAUCACCUAUAACUUGACAAAGAAUGAUAAUAUUAUCGCCCUCAUAAGCCUCCGUGGACAGCGGUUUUGUGAUAAAAACGGGCUCUUUGGAAUACCUGAAAAACACAUAAUUAAAUAACAAUCAACAGGUGCAAUGGAAUUAAUUUUAUUCCGCUAAUUUAUUUUACGGCAUACGGUAUGCUUGAAGAUUGUCCAGUUUCCAUCGAUAAUCGAUGGGAAUUAUCAACGUCAUCAUCGUUGGCUGUAACGUUUACUACAGUUUUACUAUCAGCUCGUCCCACUUCAUUUGUCGCUAUGCAGCAGUAAGUACCGGCAUCCUUGUGGGAUAUAUGAGCCAAAGUCAAUUCUACGGUACCAUCACAAUGCAAUGACAUCACUGUAUUUCGAUUGGGACGAAGACGCCGUCCAUUCCGGUACCUGCAAAAGGAGACGCUCUGAUCAGCACCAGCAAUCUUUGGAUCAGUAACGACUUGGACCUUCGCAAAAGUUGAUACUCUUCCAGCAACGUUUGUUGCAUCACAGACAUAUCUGCCCGAAUCACUUUCUCUCACAUCGAGAAUCGACAAAGAGCAUUUUGAAUCGACAUUUUGAACGAUGAAUCUUGAAUUCUGGGUUACAUCGAGUUCAGCGCAGUCCUUGUACCAUCGUAUGUACGGCGAUGAUUUAUGAUUAUUAAUCUGCCCAAUUAGCAUACGAUUACUAUUAUUAUAUUGACAUUGAUCGAUUAACUGUUGUGAUUAGUGUCAACCCACCUCGCAAUCUAGUUGCAAUGUCGUGCCUUUGAGGGCUUUUAAUUGACCUGGUAAUAUUUUUGAAAAUUCUGGAAAUUCCGUCAUCUUCCUUACAGUGACGGAAUUCGUCAUAGUUACGGAUUCUCCCCAUCCAUAACGAUUUCUCGGUGUAAUUCUGAAUUUAUAUUCUUCGCCCGAGCACAGAUUGAAGGCAUCGAACGAAUUAGUUGAUGUUACUCCGAGCUUAAAUACAAAAAAAGCAAAUACAGUCCUUUGAUUAUUAUUUUUGGAUACGAUUGUUCAACGUUUCGUGUCAUUAUGAUUCCUAAAUAUUAACUAUUGCUGGAUGGACAUAGAAAGUCUAGUCGAAUACCUCAGUCCAUUGGGCUCCACCGUCACCACCAAGUAACCAUGCAUCAACUCGAUAAGCAACGAUUGGUGCUUGUCCUCGUUGUUCAGGUUUAUCCCAGGACAAAGCCAACCAGCUAUUACCACCGUCAAUCACUACGGGUUCACUAGAGAUAGGACCCGGUACGACUGCGAACAUUUAGAUGAAAGACAAAUGUUCACAGAAAGUGAUAAUGUUCAAUAUUACUAAUCUGGUUAUUCAGAUCUCAUUGAUACUUCCCAUAGAUGAUUUUUAAAAUUAUAGUUGGAACUGUUGUCAGAACGAUUGAUUGCGUCAAUCGAAACCCUCGGCGAUUGUUUAGUUAAUACUAUCGGCUCAAAAAGUCUGGGCGUCUGAUGUUGCAGGAUUUUUUGGUAUUUUAAAAGUCCAACAGAUGGGAUAAUUAAUUUCUAGAAAGGAUUGAAUUAAUCUAUUGGUUUUUUAUUCGUUGAAGGAUUUUGUAAAGAAGGAAUUUCGUUUUGCGCGUUGAAUUAUUGUUUGUAUAUUUGAAUAUCAUAGUUUCAGAUAAAAGUAAAAUUGUUUUGGAUACAUCGUCCAAGUCACUACUUUUAUUAACCAUAUAACCAAUUUUUUUCGUUGUUUCAAUCGGUCAGCCGUCCACUUUGUUCCCAUGACAAUCACAGUUUCUCGAUCGAAACUGGAUUGAGGUAACACUGAAAUUACGCUGCUAAGACGCUUGAUUUUAACUCCCCAAGACUAAAAUACAAAAUUAUAUUUUGAUUUGUACACUCACUCACUACUGUAAGUUCUGCAAUAAAAUAUAUAAGAUGCAACUUCUGAUCGUGUCAGAAUUUUAGUAAGUCAUUACAAACAGAUCCCUCUACGAGCCACAAUUAAAGAAGAGUUAAAACAAAAAGCCAAAAAAAUGAAAUUUAGAUACUUUGUAAUGGGCAGUAGACAAUUAGCACUCACGAUAAAUAAUAUAUUUACAUUUCAUAUCCGAUAGCUUUGGCUCGUGACUAUAAUUCAGGUACUUGUUCGUAUUCUCGAAGCUCCAUUCUGUUGAUCUUGCUGGUGUCAAUGAUCUUGCACGUUGUCUGACCUAAAGGCAGAAAUCUCAAUUAAUAUAUUAAAAAAUUGAGAGCACUGACAGCAUUACCCUAAUUGUGAAAAAGCUACGAUCGUAGCCGUAACGAUUUUUAACGAGAAUACAGUAUGUUCCUUCGUCCAGAUCCUCAAUCCUCUUGAAUGUAAUCCUAACAUAAUCAUCGUGGCUUUCUUUAUAUGAUCUCGAGCCGUUGGUGAUGUCUACCAACCCCUUCAUCAAAAUCACUAAAAAUAUUACGAAAAUUAGACGCAUUAUGGUAAUAAGCUUCUAUUUAUUUUAUGACAUAGCUAUACCUUUUGGCUUGGGGACUCCACCCACUCUGAAUGAUAAACUGACAUCUUCCCCAACGCAAGCAUUAAUUAAUUUGUCAACAGGACGAGAUAUAAAUAUUGCUGGCUUUCCAUUUUCUUUCAAGUAUACGUAUCCUCCGUCAAAU
This is a long non-coding RNA of Diachasmimorpha longicaudata, 5054 nucleotides long. RefSeq lists it as uncharacterized. The record is from RefSeq and is a predicted model, not a curated record. The transcript is spliced from 5 exons. Lineage: Eukaryota; Metazoa; Arthropoda; Insecta; Hymenoptera; Braconidae.